GAUUUCCGUAGGUGAACCUGCGGAGGGAUCAUUACACAAAUAUGAAGGCGGGCUGGAAUCUCUCGGGGUUACAGCCUUGCUGAAUUAUUCACCCUUGUCUUUUGCGUACUUCUUGUUUCCUUGGUGGGUUCGCCCACCACUAGGACAAACAUAAACCUUUUGUAAUUGCAAUCAGCGUCAGUAACAAAUUAAUAAUUACAACUUUCAACAACGGAUCUCUUGGUUCUGGCAUCGAUGAAGAACGCAGCGAAAUGCGAUAAGUAGUGUGAAUUGCAGAAUUCAGUGAAUCAUCGAAUCUUUGAACGCACAUUGCGCCCCCUGGUAUUCCGGGGGGCAUGCCUGUCCGAGCGUCAUUACACCCCUCAAGCCUGGCUUGGUAUUGGGCGUCGCGGGCCUCGCCCGCGCGCCUUAAAGUCUCCCCGGCUGGACCGUCUGUCCCUAAAGCGUCGUGCAAACCUCGCGGUGGGAUUUGAUGGGCCGGCCGUUAAAUCUUUAUCAAAGGUUGACCUCGGAUCAGGUAGGGAUACCCGCUGAACUUAAGCAUAUCAAUAAGCGGAGGAAAUCGUGAUCCCUCCGCAGGUUCACCUACGGAAAUC
RNAcentral lists this ribosomal RNA (596 nucleotides) under uncultured fungus. RNAcentral's name for it is "eukaryotic LSU rRNA". The stretch from base 200 to 353 matches the Rfam family "5.8S ribosomal RNA". The record is from RNAcentral. Lineage: Eukaryota; Fungi.